UGGGGAAUCUUGCACAAUGGGGGAAACCCUGAUGCAGCGACGCCGCGUGAGCGAUGAAGGUUUUCGAAUCGUAAAGCUCUGUCCUAUGGGAAGAUAAUGACGGUACCAUGGGAGGAAGCCCCGGCUAACUACGUGCCAGCAGCCGCGGUAAUACGUAGGGGGCGAGCGUUGUCCGGAAUUACUGGGCGUAAAGGGUUCGCAGGCGGCAUGGCAAGUCCGAUGUAAAAGGCGAAGGCUCAACCUUCGUAAGCAUCGGAAACUGUCAAGCUUGAGUGAAGGAGAGGCAAGUUGAAUUCCUAGUGUAGCGGUGGAAUGCGUAGAUAUUAGGAGGAAUACCGGUGGCGAAGGCGACUUGCUGGACUUCAACUGACGCUGAGGAACGAAAGCGUGGGUAGCAAACAGG
This 403-nucleotide ribosomal RNA is filed under the name Fusobacteriota bacterium. Its description in RNAcentral is "Fusobacteria bacterium partial 16S ribosomal RNA". It matches the Rfam family "Bacterial small subunit ribosomal RNA", at positions 355 to 776 of the family's 1533-position model. The record is from RNAcentral. Lineage: Bacteria; Fusobacteriati; Fusobacteriota.